Long non-coding RNA from Bubalus bubalis (water buffalo), 376 nucleotides. RefSeq lists it as uncharacterized. The record is from RefSeq and is a predicted model, not a curated record. Lineage: Eukaryota; Metazoa; Chordata; Mammalia; Artiodactyla; Bovidae. The transcript is spliced from 3 exons.
GCCGGCCCCAAGGAAGGGCUCCUACGCAGUUAAGGGAGAACCGCACCUGAAGGAGAGCUUUUCAUGUACCUAAAGAUGACGUAACCCUCUCUAAGGACUUCCCCGGUGGUUCAGGGGGAAAGAAUCCACCUGCAACGCAGGAGACGCGGGUUUGAUCCCUGGGCGUGAGUAUGGCCAGACUCCUUAGCUCCAGAAGUGGGAGCUAACCGUAGCAUGAGGAUGGAUGUAAUGGGCUUCUCAUUUCAGGUCUGUGUUAAAUUUCAUCCAUCCAAACAACAUGGAAAGGGGAUGAAGAUGAGCUCUGAUAUUUGAACACUGAGGAUAAACCUGCAGAACCUCAAAGACGGAGGCAGCAUCAGAGGCCACACGGCCGGGC